Molecule: small nucleolar RNA, 107 nt
Organism: Lathyrus oleraceus (garden pea)
Lineage: Eukaryota; Viridiplantae; Streptophyta; Magnoliopsida; Fabales; Fabaceae
Source: RefSeq, a predicted model, not a curated record
AUCCCAUGGUGAGGAAAGUGCCUUAACAAUUCCUUGAAUCUAUCGUAAGCAUCAAAUAAUGACUCAUCACAUCCUUUCCUAAAUAAAGUGAUCUUAUUCCUCAUCCU